GUACACAAAAAUGCACAUGCUGUGAGCUCGAUGAGUAGGGCGGGACACGUGGUAUCCUGUCUGAAUAUGGGGGGACCAUCCUCCAAGGCUAAAUACUCCUGACUGACCGAUAGUGAACCAGUACCGUGAGGGAAAGGCGAAAAGAACCCCGGCGAGGGGAGUGAAAAAGAACCUGAAACCGUGUACGUACAAGCAGUGGGAGCACGCUUAGGCGUGUGACUGCGUACCUUUUGUAUAAUGGGUCAGCGACUUAUAUUCUGUAGCAAGGUUAACCGAAUAGGGGAGCCGAAGGGAAACCGAGUCUUAACUGGGCGUUAAGUUGCAGGGUAUAGACCCGAAACCCGGUGAUCUAGCCAUGGGCAGGUUGAAGGUUGGGUAACACUAACUGGAGGACCGAACCGACUAAUGUUGAAAAAUUAGCGGAUGACUUGUGGCUGGGGGUGAAAGGCCAAUCAAACCGGGAGAUAGCUGGUUCUCCCCGAAAGCUAUUUAGGUAGCGCCUCGUGAAUUCAUCUCCGGGGGUAGAGCACUGUUUCGGCAAGGGGGUCAUCCCGACUUACCAACCCGAUGCAAACUGCGAAUACCGGAGAAUGUUAUCACGGGAGACACACGGCGGGUGCUAACGUCCGUCGUGAAGAGGGAAACAACCCAGACCGCCAGCUAAGGUCCCAAAGUCAUGGUUAAGUGGGAAACGAUGUGGGAAGGCCCAGACAGCCAGGAUGUUGGCUUAGAAGCAGCCAUCAUUUAAAGAAAGCGUAAUAGCUCACUGGUCGAGUCGGCCUGCGCGGAAGAUGUAACGGGGCUAAACCAUGCACCGAAGCUGCGGCAGCGACGCUUAUGCGUUGUUGGGUAGGGGAGCGUUCUGUAAGCCUGUGAAGGUGUACUGUGAGGUAUGCUGGAGGUAUCAGAAGUGCGAAUGCUGACAUAAGUAACGAUAAAGCGGGUGAAAAGCCCGCUCGCCGGAAGACCAAGGGUUCCUGUCCAACGUUAAUCGGGGCAGGGUGAGUCGACCCCUAAGGCGAGGCCGAAAGGCGUAGUCGAUGGGAAACAGGUUAAUAUUCCUGUACUUGGUGUUACUGCGAAGGGGGGACGGAGAAGGCUAUGUUGGCCGGGCGACGGUUGUCCCGGUUUAAGCGUGUAGGCUGGUUUUCCAGGCAAAUCCGGAAAAUCAAGGCUGAGGCGUGAUGACGAGGCACUACGGUGCUGAAGCAACAAAUGCCCUGCUUCCAGGAAAAGCCUCUAAGCAUCAGGUAACAUCAAAUCGUACCCCAAACCGACACAGGUGGUCAGGUAGAGAAUACCAAGGCGCUUGAGAGAACUCGGGUGAAGGAACUAGGCAAAAUGGUGCCGUAACUUCGGGAGAAGGCACGCUGAUAUGUAGGUGAAGCGACUUGCUCGUGGAGCUGAAAUCAGUCGAAGAUACCAGCUGGCUGCAACUGUUUAUUAAAAACACAGCACUGUGCAAACACGAAAGUGGACGUAUACGGUGUGACGCCUGCCCGGUGCCGGAAGGUUAAUUGAUGGGGUCAGCGCAAGCGAAGCUCUUGAUCGAAGCCCCGGUAAACGGCGGCCGUAACUAUAACGGUCCUAAGGUAGCGAAAUUCCUUGUCGGGUAAGUUCCGACCUGCACGAAUGGCGUAAUGAUGGCCAGGCUGUCUCCACCCGAGACUCAGUGAAAUUGAACUCGCUGUGAAGAUGCAGUGUACCCGCGGCAAGACGGAAAGACCCCGUGAACCUUUACUAUAGCUUGACACUGAACAUUGAGCCUUGAUGUGUAGGAUAGGUGGGAG
RNAcentral lists this ribosomal RNA (1790 nucleotides) under Escherichia coli. Its description in RNAcentral is "partial 23S ribosomal RNA". It matches the Rfam family "Bacterial large subunit ribosomal RNA", at positions 375 to 2153 of the family's 2925-position model. Lineage: Bacteria; Pseudomonadati; Pseudomonadota; Gammaproteobacteria; Enterobacterales; Enterobacteriaceae. The record is from RNAcentral.